Molecule: ribosomal RNA, 901 nt
Filed under: uncultured archaeon
Lineage: Archaea
Description: bacterial SSU rRNA
Rfam family: Archaeal small subunit ribosomal RNA
Source: RNAcentral
CUCCGGUUGAUCCUGCCGGACCCGACUGCUAUCGGAUUGAGAUUUAGCCAUGCGAGUUGAACGUCUUCUGACUGCAGGAGGCGUAGCAUACGGCUCAGUAACACGUAGUCAACCUGCCCUGGAGACGCGGAUAACCCCGGGAAACUGGGAUUAAUCCACGAUAGGUCAUCUCAUCUGGAAGGAGAGAUGGCCCAAAGGGGAGCUGUGAGCAUGUUUCACUACUAUCGCUCCAGGAUGGGACUGCGGCCGAUCAGGCUGUUGGCGGGGUAAAGGCCCACCAAACCUGUAACCGGUACGGGCUUUGAGAGAAGGAGCCCGGAGAUGGACACUGAGACAAGGGUCCAGGUCCUACGGGGCGCAGCAGGCGCGAAACCUUCGCAAUGCGCGAAAGCGUGACGAGGUUAGUCCGAGUGGCUUCCGCUGAGGAGGUCUUUUGCUGGCUCUAAAAAGGCUGGAGAAUAAGGGGAGGGCAAGCCUGGUGUCAGCCGCCGCGGUAAUACCAGCUCCUCGAGUGGUCGGGGCGAUUAUUGGGCCUAAAGCAUCCGUAGCCGGUUCAGUAGGUCUUCUGCAAAAUCCAAUCGCUUAACGAUUGGCCCGCAGGAGAUACCGCUGGACUAGGAGGCGGGAGAGGUGGACGGUACUCCACGGGUAGGGGUAAAAUCCUUUGAUCCGUGGAAGACCACCAGUGGCGAAGGCGGUCCACCAGAACGCGCUCGACGGUGAGGGAUGAAAGCUGGGGGAGCGAACCGGAUUAGAUACCCGGGUAGUCCCAGCCGUAAACGAUGCGAGCUAGAUGAUCCAAUCGCAAAUCGCGAUUGGAGUGUCGCAGGGAAGCCGUUAAGCUCGCCGCCUGGGGAGUACGGUCGCAAGGCUGAAACUUAAAGGAAUUGGCGGGGGAGCA